Molecule: small RNA, 76 nt
Filed under: Flavobacterium weaverense
Lineage: Bacteria; Pseudomonadati; Bacteroidota; Flavobacteriia; Flavobacteriales; Flavobacteriaceae
Description: Flavo-1 RNA
Source: RNAcentral
GCAUAGACACCCGUGAAGGUAACAGCGACAAUCCCAAGUUUUUGGGCGUGGAUUGUAGCGAAUAGCCUGUUAUGCC